RNAcentral lists this ribosomal RNA (397 nucleotides) under Trithetrum navasi. Its description in RNAcentral is "partial 12S ribosomal RNA". It matches the Rfam family "Microsporidia small subunit ribosomal RNA", at positions 756 to 1305 of the family's 1311-position model. The record is from RNAcentral. Lineage: Eukaryota; Metazoa; Arthropoda; Insecta; Odonata; Libellulidae.
AAUAGUUAUGUUCUUGAAACCCAAAGAAUUUGGCGGUAUUUCAUUCUUUUUAGAGGAACCUGUCCUAUAAUUGAUAUUCCACGAGGUUAUUUACUUGAUCUUGUAUUCAUUUUGUAUACCUCCGUCAUCAGAGUAUCUUUUUAGAGUUAAUGUUCUAUUAUACUAAAUAUAUUAUGUCAGGUCAAGGUGCAGAUUAUGAUCAAGUAGAGAUGGGUUACAAUAAAACUAUUUAUACGGAUUAUUAUUUUUGAUGAUAAAAUGAAGGAGGAUUUAAAAGUAAAUUUAUUUUCUUGAUAUUUUGAUGAUGGCUCUGAAAUAUGCACACAUCGCCCGUCGCUCUUAUUUUAAAAUAAGAUAAGUCGUAACAUAGUAGAGGUACCGGAAGGUGUUUCUAGAA